AUUCCAGCUCCAAUAGUGUAUAUUAAAGUUGUUGCAGUUAAAAAGCUCGUAGUUGGAUUUCUGGCGGGAGCGAUCGGUCCUUCACUCAGUGUUGGAACCUGAUUGUCUCCUGCCAUCCAUGGAGAAAACUUAUCUGGCAUUAAGUUGUCGGGUAGGCAAUCUCCAUCUUUUACUGUGAAAAAAUUAGAGUGUUCAAAGCAGGCUUAUGCCGUUGAAUAUAUUAGCAUGGAAUAAUAAGAUAGGACUAUGGUACUAUUUUGUUGGUUUCUAGAGCUGAGGUAAUGAUUAAUAGGGAUAGUUGGGGGCGUUAAUAUUUAGUUGUCAGAGGUGAAAUUCUUAGAUUUACAAAAGAUUAACUUCUGCGAAAGCAUUCGCCAAGGAUGUUUUCAUCA
Molecule: ribosomal RNA, 392 nt
Filed under: Rhizosolenia sp.
Lineage: Eukaryota; Bacillariophyta; Coscinodiscophyceae; Rhizosoleniales; Rhizosoleniaceae
Description: partial small subunit ribosomal RNA
Rfam family: Eukaryotic small subunit ribosomal RNA
Source: RNAcentral